RNAcentral lists this ribosomal RNA (592 nucleotides) under uncultured fungus. RNAcentral's name for it is "eukaryotic LSU rRNA". It matches the Rfam family "Eukaryotic large subunit ribosomal RNA", at positions 40 to 647 of the family's 3401-position model. Lineage: Eukaryota; Fungi. The record is from RNAcentral.
AUAUCAAUAAGCGGAGGAAAAGAAACCAACAGGGAUUGCCCCAGUAACGGCGAGUGAAGCGGCAACAGCUCAAAUUUGAAAUCUGGCUUCUGUGGAGCCCGAGUUGUAAUUUGUAGAGGAUGUUUCGGGUACCGCGACGGCUUAAUUUUCUUGGAACAGAAUGUCAGAGAGGGUGAGAAUCCCGUCUGGAGCCGCGGUAGGGCCCAUGUGAAACUCCUUCGACGAGUCGAGUUGUUUGGGAAUGCAGCUCAAAAUGGGUGGUAAAUUUCAUCUAAAGCUAAAUAUUGGCCAGAGACCGAUAGCGCACAAGUAGAGUGAUCGAAAGAUGAAAAGCACUUUGAAAAGAGAGUUAAACAGUAUGUGAAAUUGUUGAAAGGGAAGCGCUGGCAACCAGACUUGCGUGCGGGGGCUCCCCCUUGCUUCUGCUCGGGUUACUCCCCCGUAUCCAGGCCAACAUCGGUUUGGGCGGCCGGUCAAAGGCCUCGGGAAUGUAUCUUCCCCCGGGAAGACUUAUAGCCCGGGGCGUCAUGCGGCCUGCCGGGACCGAGGAACGCGCUUCGUGCUCGGAUGUUGGCGUAAUGGUUGUCAGCGA